GUGUUCACUUCAGCAGCACAUAUACUAAAAUUAGAAUGGUACAGUGAUACAGAGAAGAUUAACAUAGCCCCUGUGCAAAGAUGGCAUGCAAAUUUAUGAAGCAUUUCAUAUUUUU
Molecule: small nuclear RNA, 115 nt
Filed under: Sciurus vulgaris (Eurasian red squirrel)
Lineage: Eukaryota; Metazoa; Chordata; Mammalia; Rodentia; Sciuridae
Source: RNAcentral